CGCCUACCUCGGAGUAAGCGCUUGUGAUUGGCUUUCCCUUUGAAAUCCUUCCUAUAGUCUGUGUGCUAUAGUUGGCUCCUCUCCCUUCUGCCCCGCCUUGAGGUAUCACGAGGUCCGGCGUCGUCCGUUGGGCCGAUGAAGGCGAAGCAGGUCCCGCCCAUCCGCCCCGCUGGCUUCUCUGAUUGGCCCCUUCUCGCCGCGCUCCCCCACUAACAGACUCGGUAACGUCCUCGUGAUUCCUCGGUCGCGCGUUCUCUUUAACCGCCGCCAGCUGCGCCGUGACGUCACGCGCGCCGGCACCACUCCCCCGGCGCUGUUGUUUCCGUAACCGCCCAGUCGGCUCCGAGGCGCCCCCCCCCCGUGGGUGUGGCUUCUGCGAGGCGCCCGGUGCAGGGGGAAGAAGACUGGAUUUGGAGGCAAUUCAUCAAAAAGCUUUGGUGGCGCCUCCACGGGCGUGGUCGAGGCCGGGGCGGCCUCCAAGUGUUAUCAUGCUCAUUUUAUAGAUGAGGAAACUGAUGCACGGGGCGUUAGGUGUCUGAGGAGGGAGUUGAGCCCGGCCCCUGCGCAGCAGCCCCCUGUUACAGCCCCGCGUUUCUAUUCCAGCCUCACCUGUAACCUCACGCGCCCCCCUUUUUACUUUGUGAUAGCCUCUCCACAGAACUUUGUAAAAAGUUUAUUUAAAAACCAUUUUUUUUUAAGAUGGAGAAAGAGCAUUGAAUGUUGCUGGGCCCGACUGCCUCGCUUGAGAGAGGGGGAGGGGCUUAUCCCGCUGCCUGGAGGUGGGCGUUUCCCUUAGAGCUUCUCGAUGACGCCUCCCACUGCGCGCAGGAAAAGUCCCUACUGCGCGCAGGAAAAGUCCCUACUGCGCGCAGGAAAAGUCCCUACUGCGCGCAGGAAAAGUCCCUACUGCGCGCAGGAAAAGUCCCUACUGCGCGCAGGAAAAGUCCCUACUGUGCUCAGGACCUCCCGGACGGAGGACGCUAAGUAAGCCUUAGUCUGUUUGUCUUUCGGGGCUGGGGAAGAGGUUGAUGACUCCCAGAAUGGGGGGAGACAGAAGCUGCAUUUGGACCCUGGCUCUGCUCCCAGCUGCGUGACGUCGGACAGCUUUUGCAGUCCUCCCCAAACGGAAUAUCAGACCUUGGAAUUAGGUGAAAGAACCCUCCUGGGCACUAUCUUCUUCCAAAAUGUUCCUGGAGCUCGGUGUGCGAGGAUGCUACCUCAGGCCCGAUUCUUAUUGGAAGAGAGCUUUUUUAGCAUCUGGUGGGAAGUUGGUCCUGAACUCUUGGGAGACAGAUGGGCUGCAAGGAAAGCAGAUGCCCUGCAGUUGUGCGUGGGAGUGAACCGCUGUGCCUUCCUGACUGGAGUUCUUCAGAGAUCUAGAACCGAGAUUACAGGUUCCCAGCCCCAGAGAUGGCCCUCUGGGCAAAUUGCUAAGACUAUAAUAAAACUCCUUUUUUAGUCA
Sarcophilus harrisii (Tasmanian devil) is the source of this 1462-nucleotide long non-coding RNA. RefSeq lists it as uncharacterized. The record is from RefSeq and is a predicted model, not a curated record. The transcript is spliced from 2 exons. NCBI's taxonomy places the organism in Eukaryota, Metazoa, Chordata, Mammalia, Dasyuromorphia, Dasyuridae.